RNAcentral lists this ribosomal RNA (465 nucleotides) under Vreelandella stevensii. RNAcentral's name for it is "partial 16S ribosomal RNA". It matches the Rfam family "Bacterial small subunit ribosomal RNA", at positions 338 to 795 of the family's 1533-position model. Lineage: Bacteria; Pseudomonadati; Pseudomonadota; Gammaproteobacteria; Oceanospirillales; Halomonadaceae. The record is from RNAcentral.
CCUACGGGGGGCUGCAGUGGGGAAUAUUGGACAAUGGGGGGAACCCUGAUCCAGCCAUGCCGCGUGUGUGAAGAAGGCCCUCGGGUUGUAAAGCACUUUCAGUGAGGAAGAACGCCUGGUGGUUAAUACCCAUCAGGAAAGACAUCACUCACAGAAGAAGCACCGGCUAACUCCGUGCCAGCAGCCGCGGUAAUACGGAGGGUGCGAGCGUUAAUCGGAAUUACUGGGCGUAAAGCGCGCGUAGGUGGCUUGAUAAGCCGGUUGUGAAAGCCCCGGGCUCAACCUGGGAACGGCAUCCGGAACUGUCAAGCUAGAGUGCAGGAGAGGAAGGUAGAAUUCCCGGUGCAGCGGUGAAAUGCGUAGAGAUCGGGAGGAAUACCAGUGGCGAAGGCGGCCUUCUGGACUGACACUGACACUGAGGUGCGAAGGCGUGGGUAGCAAACAGGAUUAGAUACCCCUGUAGUC